This 742-nucleotide long non-coding RNA is filed under the name Brassica rapa (field mustard). RNAcentral describes it as "long non-coding RNA (BRAP_LNC004173)". Lineage: Eukaryota; Viridiplantae; Streptophyta; Magnoliopsida; Brassicales; Brassicaceae. The record is from RNAcentral.
GGAUCACAAACAAGUUACCGGUCCAAACGAAAGGCAAUCUUAUGAGAAGUAAAAUCGAAAGAAAACACCUUUACAGUGCUUGGGUUUCCGGCAAAGAGGUCAAAACACAUUUUUUUUAGACCAAAAAAAAAUCGAAAGAAAAGAAAGCACAUGAAGUUUAGAGUGCACAUAUGUACAUACAUGUAUAUAAACAAACCCAAUAUAUAUCAAUCCAUCUUUCUUGAUGAUUUUAGUUUUCUAUUGUGAGAUUGCAGUGAUGAUCAGUAGGACUUUUUUUUUUUUUGGUAAAAUAGUAGGACUGUUUUCCUUGGUUAUUUUAAUUACAUCUCUUUCUCGUUAUAUCACAUCUUAUUUGAUACGCUUGCGUUUAGACGAACUUUUUUUUUUUUGAUAAGUCGUUUAGACGAACUUUAUGUUUUGUUUGAGAUGUUUAACAAUGUGAAGCAUCUCCAAAAUAACAUUGGAGACGUGGAAUGAACUUUUGUAUGUAUAUCAAAAUUCUUUGCAUUGUACAAACAAAAACUUGUACAUACGUUGAUACUGCUAGAAUCACACCAUGAAUGGACUGAGACUUAUUUGACUUAAUACCCCAUUAGAGCCAUUUUACAACAAAACACCGAUCAAGUUGAUGUUCCAGUCAGACGGUAGUACGGUAUAGAAUAUCAGGCUCGCUAAGUUUCAUUAAUUCUUUUUGAGGACUGUUUGGACACGAAGACCUCUUUAUCCACCGUCUGGAUUGGCU